GUCUUGAGGUGUUACAUGCUAGAUUGCAAAUCUAGAGUAGCGCAUUAGGGUGCGCCAGGACU
RNAcentral lists this transfer RNA (62 nucleotides) under Panaspis breviceps. RNAcentral's name for it is "tRNA-Cys". Lineage: Eukaryota; Metazoa; Chordata; Lepidosauria; Squamata; Scincidae. The record is from RNAcentral.